RNAcentral lists this ribosomal RNA (253 nucleotides) under uncultured bacterium. RNAcentral describes it as "partial 16S ribosomal RNA". It matches the Rfam family "Bacterial small subunit ribosomal RNA", at positions 524 to 776 of the family's 1533-position model. The record is from RNAcentral.
CACGUAGGGGACGAGCGUUGUCCGGAUUCAUUGGGCGUAAAGCGCGCGUAGGCGGCCUUCUAAGUCGAACGUGAAAUCCCCGGGCUCAACCCGGGAACUGCGUCCGAUACUGGAAGGCUUGAAUCUGGGAGAGGGAUGCGGAAUUCCAGGUGUAGCGGUGAAAUGCGUAGAUAUCUGGAGGAACACCGGUGGCGAAGGCGGCAUCCUGGACCGGUAUUGACGCUGAGGCGCGAAAGCCAGGGGAGCAAACGGG